Biomphalaria glabrata is the source of this 441-nucleotide long non-coding RNA. RefSeq lists it as uncharacterized. NCBI's taxonomy places the organism in Eukaryota, Metazoa, Mollusca, Gastropoda, Planorbidae. The record is from RefSeq and is a predicted model, not a curated record. The transcript is spliced from 3 exons.
UAAUAAACAAUACAGUCCCCAAGACAAGUGUAAAGACACUCAAAAUUAUUUCUAUUUAGAUCAGAUCUAGAUCUAGGUGCUAAGAACAGAUAAUUCUGCUAUGAUGAGACUAGACACCAAAGCACAAGAACAGCGCACUUUCUUGAGAGAGAGAUUUUUAAGAAUGCUUGGAUGUCUCAACGGAAGCCUGGCAGAAGUUGUCAUGCAUGAAAAGACCAAAGUGACCUUUUUCUGUCAAAAGAAAGCUUGAGAACAAGAAUUUGUUCUGGAAUUCUCUGCAGUUGUCAGUGGUUAAACAAGUGGCUUCCUGCAACGAUAAUAGUUGUUUUGCACAGGGUAUAAAACACUGUUAUUACUUCGUAGAAGUCCUGAACUAUACACUGUAGCAUUUUAUUGUUUACUCCUGUUGAUUCGUGAAUUAAAAUAAAGAUUCAAAUUUGA